Molecule: long non-coding RNA, 642 nt
Organism: Schistocerca piceifrons (Central American locust)
Lineage: Eukaryota; Metazoa; Arthropoda; Insecta; Orthoptera; Acrididae
Exons: 3
Source: RefSeq, a predicted model, not a curated record
GCAAGUCCUGUUGAUUUGCAAAGUCCCAGUGAAGCCAAGUAAUUUAUCUUAACAUUAAAAAACAGAGGAUAAAACUGAGAAAUGGUACCACAAGAAUAAGACUAAGUUCUGAAAGGAAAAACAUUAAAUAAGGUGACUGUUGAUACCAAUGGAAGUGAACUUGAACUGCUGUCAAAGGUACCACAUAGUGUGAAAGACACCCAACAAAAAGAUAAAACUUCAUUAAGUAAAGGUAUGAUCCUUGUUUCAGUGAGGAAGAAACUGGCUAUACUUCACAACAGAGAGCAUUCAUUGUCAUUAAAUACAUUACAUGUGUCAGUUAUGCAGUGAAUCAAAAUGUCUUCACAGAAAACUACAGUAACCAUGCAUUUAAGUUCACCAUCUGGUGGCAAUAUGAAAAGUUUCAAAAGAAAGGAAAUGUGGCAAACAUUGCCAAAAUCAGUUGACAUCAGAAACGUUGAUCUGUGUGUAAGCUGCAUAUUCAUCAAGUUCUAUGAAGUCUGUGCAGCACCUAUCUAGGCAGUCUGGUCUCACCAUUGGCAGUAAACACAAAUGUGAGCAAGUGCAUAAGCAUCCAUUCAAACAGAACACAUACUGUUCAUGAGUGGCUACCUGUCAUUAGUUCAUUUGUAAUGCCUUAUU